GUGGAAUGCAGAGGCAAGGAUUUCUUAGGGUGAUAUCUUUUAAUUAUCUUUUCUUAUCACUCUAAUAAAUCCUUGCCUCUUCGACACCAU
This 90-nucleotide microRNA precursor is filed under the name Alligator mississippiensis (American alligator). RNAcentral's name for it is "microRNA ami-mir-9606 precursor". Lineage: Eukaryota; Metazoa; Chordata; Crocodylia; Alligatoridae. The record is from miRBase by way of RNAcentral.